CAAUAUUUUUUGGCGAUUCUUUCUUAUUUAUGAAUAAGUUUACAUGCUCAAUACUAAUAAUUACGUACUCUCACAAGUCCAACUAUUGUAUGAAUAAGAUUACUGCGUAAUGACACUUCAAGGAUGAU
This 128-nucleotide microRNA precursor is filed under the name Daucus carota subsp. sativus. RNAcentral's name for it is "MIR480 microRNA precursor family". It matches the Rfam family "MIR480 microRNA precursor family". Lineage: Eukaryota; Viridiplantae; Streptophyta; Magnoliopsida; Apiales; Apiaceae. The record is from Rfam by way of RNAcentral.